UACGGAGGGUGCAAGCGUUAUCCGGAUUCACUGGGUUUAAAGGGUGCGUAGGCGGACAGGUAAGUCAGUGGUGAAAUCUCUGGGCUUAACCCAGAAACUGCCGUUGAUACUAUUUGUCUUGAAUAUCCUGGAGGUAGGCGGAAUAUGUCAUGUAGCGGUGAAAUGCUUAGAUAUGACAUAGAACACCGAUAGCGAAGGCAGCUUACUACAGGGUGAUUGACGCUGAGGCACGAAAGCGUGGGGAGCAAACAGG
This 253-nucleotide ribosomal RNA is filed under the name uncultured bacterium. Its description in RNAcentral is "partial 16S ribosomal RNA". It matches the Rfam family "Bacterial small subunit ribosomal RNA", at positions 524 to 776 of the family's 1533-position model. The record is from RNAcentral.